This 496-nucleotide ribosomal RNA is filed under the name uncultured bacterium. RNAcentral's name for it is "partial 16S ribosomal RNA". It matches the Rfam family "Bacterial small subunit ribosomal RNA", at positions 28 to 506 of the family's 1533-position model. The record is from RNAcentral.
GAUGAACGCUGGCGGCGUGCCUAAUACAUGCAAGUCGAGCGAACGGACGAGAAGCUUGCUUUUCUGAUGUUAGCGGCGGACGGGUGAGUAACACGUGGAUAACCUACCUAUAAGACUGGGAUAACUUCGGGAAACCGGAGCUAAUACCGGAUAAUAUUUUGAACCGCAUGGUUCAAAAGUGAAAGACGGUCUUGCUGUCACUUAUAGAUGGAUCCGCGCUGCAUUAGCUAGUUGGUAAGGUAACGGCUUACCAAGGCAACGAUGCAUAGCCGACCUGAGAGGGUGAUCGGCCACACGGGAACUGAGACACGGUCCAGACCCCUACGGGGGGCAGCAGGAGGGAAUCUUCCGAAAGGGGCGAAAGCCUGACGGAGCAACGCCGCGGGAGUGAUGAAGGUCUUCGGAUCGUAAAACUCUUUUAUUAGGGAAGAACAAAUGUGUAAGUAACUGUGCACGUCUGGACGGUACCUAAGCAGAAAGCCACGGCUAACUACGU